Molecule: long non-coding RNA, 1709 nt
Filed under: Capsicum annuum
Lineage: Eukaryota; Viridiplantae; Streptophyta; Magnoliopsida; Solanales; Solanaceae
Description: long non-coding RNA (CANN_LNC009914)
Source: RNAcentral
CAUGCUUACUCAUCUUCCACCAAAGUCGACGAAACUCGUUAAAUCAAUGUUAUCCAUAAGCAAUUAGUCUCUCCUGUUUCAAUAUUUAAUUUUAAGAACCGUAUUUUGAGAUUAAUUUAUGUAACAAACUGAUUUGAAACAUACGUGGCAAUCUUAUUCAUUGUUUACAGUCUUGAUGGUUAUAUUUGCUAUUUUUACAUCAUCAAUUAAUGUAAAUUAACUGACUUUACUUUAUUUCUCCUUUUACAUGAUCAAAUUCAUAAAUUUAUUACAUAUACAUUUACAAAUUGUUGUAUGUACACUGUACAUGUCGUCUUAACCAAACGGGAACGAUAAAUAUUGCAAAAGUGGCAAUGCAGUAAUAUGCUACUCCGUUUAUUCCUUUUUAAUUGCUUCCUUUUAUCAAAUGAUACAAAUUUUGAUCAUCAUUUUAAGAUUAUUUCUCAAAAAUAUUUUUUUAAAAGAAAAAUUGCAAUUUAUAGUACUUUUCAGGUAGUUUUUGAAUAUCUAAAUUAUAAUUUUAAAAAAUUUAAAUUAAUUUAAUCUAAUUUGAUUUUAAAACUUAAUCAAAUUGACUUAGAAAAAAUAGGAGAGCAUUAAAAAGGUCUGGAGGGAAUGUGAGAGUUCCGUAAGCAUCACAUCUGGGAAAGAUUGAUUAUAUAACAAAAACUUUUAUAUGAUCAACAAAUAUAAUUGAUGUCGACUUCAAAUUAAUCAACAAAUAUAAUUGAUGUCGACUUCAAAUUAACAUUCUGAAACCAAUUCUGUACAUAAUUUACAAACAGAUGAAGAAAUUGAAAUAUCUAAAAUCAACAAACUGUUCCCCCAACCCUCCCAAUAAAAAGACACCAUAUAUCCUGCUAUAAUAUGUCACAAAUCAAAUUUUCUUAUCCCCCUAAUUGUUUGCUAAAGAAGAAAAAGAGGCCAAGCAAUUUUGACCUGUCUGCUAUAUGAAUCUUUACUACCCAUGCCGCAAAUUGAUUAGUUUUAGUUUAUGCGAGUUUGGGGUGUGGGGUCGACAACACAGCAAGCACGUGUAGUUGCACUAUUGAUGAGCUUGAUUUGGAUUAUUAACAGCAACACCAAACCGAGCCAUGAGGCUACCCGGAUACGCAGAGUUACUAGCCUUUAACAUAUGACCAGCAAAGUGCAUUUCAUUGAAUGGACAACCCGAACCGGAGCCAACAUUUCCAGGGAUAUUUGUGCAACCAGAUGGUCCAGAAGGAGGGACUGGACCUCUUUGGAGUGACUGUAAAUUCAUCAACUCUUUUUCAUAUAACAACCUGGUUCCUUUACCUGGCUGGACGCACACAAUUAGGACAAUAAGGGCUAAGAAUACCAAUAAAAUGGUUUUAAGAAUAUACAUCUACUUAUGUUGCAAAUUAAAGCAGGAACAAGAAUAAUGUUGGUUUUGUAAUUGAGGAGAGAGGGGACAUAUUUAUAGGCAAGGUUUCUUAUAGUUCGAUUAAUAGGAUAGGUUUUUGACUAUUGACUGCUGCUGCCAACCCACAAUGUAUAUAAUAUUUUCCUUGCUAGGAAAUUGGUAUGGAACCGACAAAUAUAUUAUUCAUCCAAGGUUUAUGUGUUGGUAUUUCGUAGUAAAAUAUAUUAGUUGGAGAUAAACCUAAGUGGGAUUGUGUACGUAGUUGAUGAUGUUAAAGUUUAGUGCUAGAGGCAGCCGGAUCUAUAGUUCCACGCCAACUUGGUAA